GGGCAACAAAAUUCAAUACAAAAAACAUACCAAAACUCCAGUAAAGCAGCACAUUGGGGAAAACCACCACAAAAUAUCGCAGUGACUGCGUCCUAGCUACAUGCAGCGGUGCAGCUUAUGAGUGCCACACACAACUACACAUUGUCAUAGCAGUGCAACACCUUUUCGAGCCGUGUGUAGUAACUGUCGAAGGCCACUUCUCUCAAACGCGGCGCGCUGCA
This 221-nucleotide long non-coding RNA is filed under the name Olea europaea (common olive). RNAcentral describes it as "long non-coding RNA (OEUR_LNC000345)". Lineage: Eukaryota; Viridiplantae; Streptophyta; Magnoliopsida; Lamiales; Oleaceae. The record is from RNAcentral.